GUUGUAAGGAGCAGAGGAACCUGAACACCUUUUUCGCCAUCAUGUUUGGACUCAGUAACAGUGCAGUAACUCGCCUGGCCCAGACCUGGGACAGGAUCCCCAACAAGACCAGACGAAUGUACCACGGCUUCGAGAGGUUGAUGGACCCAGCAAGGAAUCACAGGGUUUACCGACAGGCUAUCACCAAACUGAAUGCUCCAUUUCUAACAUUC
Molecule: long non-coding RNA, 212 nt
Organism: Carcharodon carcharias (great white shark)
Lineage: Eukaryota; Metazoa; Chordata; Chondrichthyes; Lamniformes; Lamnidae
Exons: 3
Source: RefSeq, a predicted model, not a curated record